GAUGAACGCUGGCGGCGUGCUUAAUACAUGCAAGUCGAACGGUGAACACGGAGCUUGCUCUGUGGGAUCAGUGGCGAACGGGUGAGUAACACGUGAGCAACCUGCCCCUGACUCUGGGAUAAGCGCUGGAAACGGCGUCUAAUACUGGAUAUGUGACGUGACCGCAUGGUCUGCGUUUGGAAAGAUUUUUCGGUUGGGGAUGGGCUCGCGGCCUAUCAGCUUGUUGGUGAGGUAAUGGCUCACCAAGGCGUCGACGGGUAGCCGGCCUGAGAGGGUGACCGGCCACACUGGGACUGAGACACGGCCCAGACUCCUACGGGAGGCAGCAGUGGGGAAUAUUGCACAAUGGGCGCAAGCCUGAUGCAGCAACGCCGCGCGAGGGAUGACGGCCUUCGGGUUGUAAACCUCUUUUAGCGGGGAAGAAGCGAAAGUGACGGUACCUGCAGAAAAAGCGCCGGCUAACUACGUG
This 469-nucleotide ribosomal RNA is filed under the name uncultured bacterium. RNAcentral describes it as "partial 16S ribosomal RNA". It matches the Rfam family "Bacterial small subunit ribosomal RNA", at positions 28 to 507 of the family's 1533-position model. The record is from RNAcentral.